Molecule: long non-coding RNA, 984 nt
Organism: Gorilla gorilla gorilla (western lowland gorilla)
Lineage: Eukaryota; Metazoa; Chordata; Mammalia; Primates; Hominidae
Exons: 5
Source: RefSeq, a predicted model, not a curated record
UCAGAUGAGGGAAUAAAAGCAGGCUGCCCCAGCUGUGUGUGGCAACCGGCUGCGGUGGGUUUGUGUGGUGUGGAGGGUUUGUUUUUUUUUUGCUCUUCCCAAUAAUAUUUGUUGCUUUUCGUUGAUUGGGUUCUGGCUACCUUUAUGAGCCGUAACACUCACUGUGAAGGUUUGCAGCUUAUUCCUGAAGCCCGCGAGACCAGGAACCCACCAGAAGGAAAAAAUUUGGGAUAUAUUUGAACAUCAGAAGGAGCAAACUCCGGACCCACCAUCUUUAAGAACUGUAACACUCACUGUGAGGGUCUGCAGCGUGUUCUUGAAGUCCGGGAGACCAAGAACCCACCAAUUCCGGACACAUUGGAAAAUGCGGCCAUCUCCAUGGUUGUUGAGGUUGUCCUUUUCAGGAUAAAGGAUCAUACUAUAUUUCAGAUUUGUCUGCCUUAAUUUGGUGAUUGCAACUAAACAGUGUUUCCUAUUUGUACCAACAAGAAGAAUUUUAAAAAUUAUUCUUUAGAACAGUUUUAUUCAUUCAGUCAUGAACAUUCCCAGACAUUUGUGGCCUUCUGGAUUCUGAAUAAGAAGAUCUACUGGCAACAAAUUCCCUCAAGAUUUCUGUUGUUGUUGUUGUCAUCUGAUAGUCUUUGUACUUCAGUAUGAGAGGAUAAAUUUGCUGGAUACAGAAUUCAAGAAACUUGGGCCAGCUCCUGUUCAGUUCAAACUGGUUGAGACCACUGACACUUCAAUGGAGCCUGUGCAAGUGCCUGAGAGGUGGCCUUUUGACUUCAGAAGGCCCAAAGUUCCACCCUUAUGUUAUGCUAAUGCCGCCUUUCUAUACAUAUGUCCUAUGAAAUACUAUGAACCCUGUGCAGAAUGAACCUGUUACUUCAUUUUCCCCCACUGCCAAUCACCUUUCCUCACCCUGUGUCCCUAACCCAUAAAUAUCCCUCAGCCUUAUCUUCAGGGAAGUGGAUUUGAAAACUAUUC